This 305-nucleotide ribosomal RNA is filed under the name uncultured bacterium. RNAcentral describes it as "bacterial SSU rRNA". It matches the Rfam family "Bacterial small subunit ribosomal RNA", at positions 339 to 645 of the family's 1533-position model. The record is from RNAcentral.
CCUCGGGACGCAGCAGUGGGGAAUAUUGCACAAUGGGGGGAACCCUGAUGCAGCGACGCCGCGUGGGUGAAGGAGCACCUCGGUGCGUAAAGCCCUAUCGGCAGGGAAGAAAAGCGAACAGGUUCGCCUGGACGGUACCUGUCGAAUAAGCCACGGCUAACUACGUGCCAGCAGCCGCGGUAAUACGUAGGUGGCAAGCGUUGUCCGGAUUUACUGGGUGUAAAGGGCGUGUAGCCGGGCUGACAAGUCAGAUGUGAAAUCCGGGGGCUCAACCCCCGAACUGCAUUUGAAACUGUUGGCCUUGG